UACCAGCACCCCGAGUGGUCGGGACGAUUAUUGGGCCUAAAGCAUCCGUAGCCGGCCUUACAAGUCCUCCGUUAAAUCCAGCUGCUUAACAGAUGGGCUGCGGAGGAUACUAUAAGACUAGGAGGCAGGAGAGGCAAGCGGUACUCAGUGGGUAGGGGGUAAAAAUCCGUUGAUCCAUUGAAGACCACCAGUGGCGAAGGCGGCUUGCCAGAAUGCGCUCGACGGUGAGGGAUGAAAGCUGGGGGAGCAAACCAGGG
RNAcentral lists this ribosomal RNA (257 nucleotides) under uncultured bacterium. RNAcentral describes it as "partial 16S ribosomal RNA". It matches the Rfam family "Archaeal small subunit ribosomal RNA", at positions 474 to 729 of the family's 1478-position model. The record is from RNAcentral.